This 421-nucleotide ribosomal RNA is filed under the name uncultured bacterium. RNAcentral's name for it is "bacterial SSU rRNA". It matches the Rfam family "Bacterial small subunit ribosomal RNA", at positions 359 to 776 of the family's 1533-position model. The record is from RNAcentral.
GAAUAUUGGACAAUGGCCGCAAGGCUGAUCCAGCCAUCCAGCGUGCAGGAAGAAGGCCCUAUGGGUUGUAAACUGCUUUUGUCAGGGAAGAAACCUUUGGAUUUACUCCGAAGCUGACGGUACCUGAAGAAUAAGCACCGGCUACCUCCGUGCCAGCAGCCGCGGUAAUACGGAGGGGGCGAGCGUUAGCCGGAAUUACUGGGUUUAAAGGGUGCGUAGGCGGCGCUGUAAGUCAGGAGUGAAAGUUUGCGGCUCAACCGUAAAGUCGCUUUUGAUACUGCAGUGCUGGAAUUAGGAUGAGGUCAGCGGAAUGUGGCAUGUAGCGGUGAAAUGCAUAGAUAUGCCAUAGAACACCAAUUGCGAAGGCAACUGGCUAGACCUGGAUUGACGCUGAGGCACGAAAGCGUGGGGAGCGAACAGG